ACUAACCGCAGCACAGAUGUCAGGCCGAGAGGUAAUUGCAAGGUACUGCAGGCAUCCUAGAAGCUCUUUGAAGGGAUGAGUGGUUGAUUCAUCAUCCGCUGUCUCUCGCCAUUGAACGUUCGGAUUCAGGGGUGUACCAAUGGGGUUGCAUUCGGACAUUCCAAACCUUUUUAAUAUCUUUUCGGUAUAACCUAGACGCAAACAUAUUCCGGUGAACAUCGGAUGCGCAUUCGGCUUUGACCAUCCGAUGUUCAUACCUGUGAACAUCGAACGUUCAAAUUUCGUAAAAUUUACCAACACAAUUAAAACUUAUUUCAAUGUAUGUGUGAACCUCCCUAUCGAGCUGCUCUCUUCUUCUUUAACUUUGUUUCAAUAGCGGGGUUUCUUCCUUCAUCGCGUUUGACAGUUGGAUUUUGCUUUGGUUGCGCAACGUUUUGUUUUGCCCGGAAUAAAUCCGUCAUUUUCCGGAUCUUUCAUUAAAAUUAACGCCAAGCAGUGUGGCUUCUUCAGCCUCAGCCGGACAGGCUGGCCAGCUGAAUACGAUCGACCCAAACCUGCAGAUCUCGCUGGAUCAGUUUCAGCUGCAGGCCACCACGCACCCGGCGCAGUUGGCCAAGUAACGGCUGCGGGCGGAAGCUAGCAGUAGCAACCCAAGUUUGUGUUCAACGUGGACGCAGCAGCCCCAAACGGGAGGUCCGCCGAUGUUGAUUCCGGUUGACGCGUCCGGAAUGCGCACGAAGAUAGCCAAAAAAAAGUGACAAGUAACGCAAGGAGAAGAACCGGCUGGCCGGAGUACGACAGGCGCCUGCAGGUCAACAAAGUGCAGCUGCAGCGGCCACCGUUCCUGGAGGAUACCAGUUUGAGGCUAGUCCCGCUCCGGCACCCAUUCAAUACCCUGGCUGGAAACGUCGUCCAGGAGCGUCAAAUUGACGUGGACUCGGAGACCGAUUCCAACCAUAUGUUAUUGCAAUAACAUACUA
Culex pipiens pallens (northern house mosquito) is the source of this 980-nucleotide long non-coding RNA. RefSeq lists it as uncharacterized. The transcript has 3 exons. NCBI's taxonomy places the organism in Eukaryota, Metazoa, Arthropoda, Insecta, Diptera, Culicidae. The record is from RefSeq and is a predicted model, not a curated record.